AGCUUUUGUCAGGUGGAAAGGACAGCGCAGACGAACCAGGGGCGCUGCCUGGAGGGUCAGCGCGGAACGGGUGGAGAGGCAGAGGCGGGGCUCCCAGUGGGGUUGGAAAAAUCCUCCUUUUUAGGUGUCUGCAUCGACAGCGGCAAAGGCAGCUGGGACAUGGGAAGACGCAUGUGAAUCUUGGAGUAAACGCCUGGAGCCCCCGGCUCCGACUCCUUUUGCAGGGGAUUGAGAGACAGGGGCAGGUACCUCCAGGAAUGCACGGGAAAUUUUCAAGUGACAGCCACCCGCAUGGUGGCGAUGACACCUCCCAGGCCUUGCAGGAGAGCGCAGAGUCAUCUAGGGCUUAUAUUUGGCACCCUUUACCCUGCGUAUUAUUCCUACAAGGCUGUGAAAUCAAAGGACAUUAAGGAAUAUGUCAAAUGGAUGAUGUACUGGAUUAUAUUUGCACUUUUCACCACAGCA
This 465-nucleotide long non-coding RNA is filed under the name Homo sapiens (human). RNAcentral's name for it is "non-protein coding lnc-IMMT-3:1". Lineage: Eukaryota; Metazoa; Chordata; Mammalia; Primates; Hominidae. The record is from RNAcentral.